CCUAGGUAACGGGGCGGAAUUCCACCUUAGAUCAAGUGGGCAGGGCUCCACCCUAGAAGGAGGGGGCGGGGUUCAACCCUAGAACGAGGAGGCGGGGCCCCACCCUAGAAUGAGUGGGCGGGGUUCUCUCCCAGAACUAGGGGACAGGACUCAACCCCAUCAAGGGAGCAGAGCUCCAGGGCAGGGCUCCACUGUAGGGCAAGGGGGAUGGGCUUGGAGCGGGACUCUGGGGACGAGGCUCCACUGUAGGCCCAGGGCGCGGAGCCGGGGCGGAGCAUGGGGCGGGGCUUCAUCCUAGAAUGAGUGGGAGGGGCUCGGCUGAUGCUGAUGGUGAGCGGGGCCUUACCGGCACGCGGGACCGCUCGUCUCCAGAACGCACUGGCCCUGGUGACAGUCGAUGGCGUUGUCCACGCCCGACGUGCAUUUGGUGACACAGCGGAGCCGGGUGGCCUCCACCAAGGGGAAGUAGAACUCUUCAUAGCCCGUGGGAGCGGCGCGGCGGCAGAUGGCUGGGGGUUGGGGAGGGGGAUGCACAGAGACAAGGACCUCAUCCAUUCUAUUCAGGGGCCUGAUAAUGGUGCCUCUGAAUAUGCGCGAGGAGGAUUCCAUUUCCGAGGGGGGGGUGCUGUGGGGUAGACCCUGGGAUUCGAUGAGGGGAGGCCACCCCCAGCACCCUCACCCUCUCCUCGUGGCCCCUGCUGUCCUCAGGUGGAAGCCACUAACCAGUGCCAGGAAGGGCCGCCCUGGGCCACAUGACUUGCCUCCCCCAAAGGUCUCUCCCUGCCCACAGGCUUCAAUGGGCAAAUGUCCCUGGUAGCCCGGAUCAUAGCCGCGGGAGACCACUCAGCCCUUUAGCCCACCCUCACCUUCCGGGGUCAGCUCUGUCUUGCUGUUGUUGUUCACCUUGACGGAGUCAGGCUUAAAACACAGGGCUGCGGAAACACAGGCACAGAUGGAAUAGGCGGGGCAGAUCAAGGGGUUAAGGUCAAGGGGUUAGUGCCAGGAGGCAGGAUAGGCACAGGGAGGGCAGUGAGGGCUCUCUCCGUCUGGGAGAGCCCUCUCCCAGAGGAGAGAGCCACAGGGGAAGACUCCUGUUGCCUGCCUCAUCUCCCCUGAAUAAUCCGAGGUCUUCAGCCAUCUGGGAAAUGCUGAGCAUGACAAUCAGGGGGUCUCUUUCCCAGUACCAAGGUCACGGGGAGACCCUCCCUAGCCCCACCCUUGACACCGUUGUGUGUGGACUUAUUCCCCUUCUCCCAACCUGCCAGAGGUACCACAGGGCUGGCACCUGAGCCCAGUGGCCCCCUGGCUGAGCUGGAGUGGGCUGGGGUGACACCUCAGGCCCUGGCCCCUCCCUCCAGCCCGGGCUCACUCUGGGAGUCCUGGCAGCUGUUCGCAUCCUGGCUGGCGUUCUGCAGCCCCUCCUUCAGCGUGGUCUUCACCUGCUCGUACUGGCUCUCCAGCUGGGGGCUGAAGGGCAUCUCCAGCAGGACCAGGGAUGGGUUCUCACUAUGUUGCCCAGGCUAGUCUUGAACUGGUUUCAGGUGAUCCACCCGCCUAGCCUUCCCAAAGUGCUAGGAUUGCAAGUGUAAGCCACCACAUCUGGCCUGACAUUCUCUUCUUGUUGCAUCAAGCCAUCAUCCACCGGGCACCCCUGGACGCGCGUUCUCUCCCUCUCUCUCUUUCUCUCUCUCUCUCUCUAAUGCUGACCCACUCAGUAGAGCAGGGGCCAGCCAGAGGGGGACAAAGUCAUCAAUUCAGGCACCACCUUCCCACAUGUCCCUGCAACUUCUCUCCUUCCAGUGUGCUGAAGAAGAGAGGUGCCACCCCUCCUCCAGAUAAAUGGCCCCAGAAAACGAUCCGAAAAAAUACCCAGGGAGUGAUUCCUUAUGUACCCCCUCCACCCCUCUCUUUAUAAAAUCCGAUGAUUACAAAAG
RNAcentral lists this non-coding RNA (1934 nucleotides) under Pan troglodytes (chimpanzee). Lineage: Eukaryota; Metazoa; Chordata; Mammalia; Primates; Hominidae. The record is from RNAcentral.